This is a long non-coding RNA of Perca flavescens (yellow perch), 195 nucleotides long. RefSeq lists it as uncharacterized. The transcript has 3 exons. The record is from RefSeq and is a predicted model, not a curated record. NCBI's taxonomy places the organism in Eukaryota, Metazoa, Chordata, Actinopteri, Perciformes, Percidae.
CUCUGAGACCGUUCGUGCACGUUUAAGAGUCUGCAGGAGCAGCUGUGAGAGCCCUGCAGGGACAAGCCUUUCUAAUUCUGCUUCCACCACUCACCGGGAGCCAUGUGCAGGACAUCAGAAUAAAACCACUGGUUGGUACAUUGUUUGGACUGGAGGAAGCGCUGUUCUAUUGAGGGAUGUAACAGAAGAGACUGA